Bos taurus (domestic cattle) is the source of this 1239-nucleotide long non-coding RNA. The record is from Ensembl. Lineage: Eukaryota; Metazoa; Chordata; Mammalia; Artiodactyla; Bovidae.
GCAUGAAGGGCCAGCGAUUUCAGAAUAAGUGAUUGCCAAACAUACAUCGGGCUCCUCAAAGCUCCCAUGACCUCUCAGAGAAAAUGAGGGAAGUUUCCCAGGGCUCUGUCCUCUUCAGACUAGGAGUUCUCUAACUAAGUGACCUCAAACUAACUGACAGCCUUCGAACUAACACGGAAACAGCCCACCUGGGAACAAAGUCAGCAUGGAGUAAACUGAUCUGGAAGAUACUAAGAGCUGGAGAGGCAGAGAUCUGAUAACAUCAGGCCCUGGAUCCAGCCAUUCCUGAAGCUAACUCUCUGGAUAUUACUGCUAUGUGAGCCCAUGAAUCUGGUUGGAGAGGAGCAUGAAAGGUUUACUGGAAGAGUUGACAUUUACCAUAGCCUUGACGGAGGAUGACCCGGUCAGGAUGGACUGUGCUGGGCUGCAAUGACAACCCCCUUCUGGAUCCUAUUGAUUUUCCCCAUUGCUCACAGCUGGACAUUACAUGUCAAGGAUGCUCUCAGAGGACUGGGAAAAGGUUCAGAGGUCCACAGAUAUGAUCCUUCUACUUGGGCUCCCGAAGCAAGCAGAAAGAUCCCUUCCCCUCCCCAUGAAGUCCAAGCAGGGCUGCAGAAAGAAGGGAGAGUUCAGGAAGAAGCACUUGCUUUUGCUCACUUGUUCAACCACUGUUUACUGGCUUUCUGUAUGAAUCGGGUACCUUGAAAGAUGCCAGGAGAGAUGGGAUGAGAUGAUGAUGGUCGUGAUCAUGAUGGCUAACAUUCUAUCAAGGACUUUGUACAUGCCAGGCACUGUUCUAGGAUGUUUCACAGGUCCUUAUGUGACUUCCCUGAUGGCUCAGAUGGUAAAGCAUCUGCCUACAAUGCAGGAGACCUGAGUUCGAUCCCUAGGUUAGGAAGAUCCCCUGAAGAAGGAAAUAGCAACCCACUCCAGUACUGUUGCCUUGAAAAUCCCAUGGAUGGAGGAACCUGGUAGGCUACAGUCCAUGGGGACAUAAAGAGUUGAACACGACUGAGCAACUUCACUUUCUUUCUUUCUUUCUUUUCUUUACGUGUAUUAACUGGUAUUUCUUAAAACGACCCUAGAAGAUAGCUCUGUUAUUAUGUACAACUUCCCAAUGAGGAGGCCGAGGCAGCAAAUUACAGAACGUGCCAGGGCCACAAAAGCUGGUGAGAUCAGAGAUGAGAUACAAAUGAUCUGCAGAGAUGAAAGUCCCAGCUUCCCAGGAGGAGGGGCGGG